AAGGCGAAGAACUGGAGGAUGAGGAAGAGGAGGAUGAUGAUGAAGUUUCUCCUGAACCCAUUUCCACUUCUGAGGAUGAAGAGUCGGCUGUAUCUCCUGAUUCUGAGUCCGAUAUUCCUGUUGGGGUGACAGACAGUGACGAAGAGGUAACUUUACCCGAUGAAGAUGAUGAAAAAGAUGAAGAAGAACAUGAUGAAGAUGAAACCAGUGACGAUGAACUUCUUUCCAGUGAAGAGGAAGAGGGGGAGGAUGAGCUGGAGGAUGAUGAAGAAGAUGAUGAAGAUGAUAGACUAGCUGAGGGUGUUACUGAUAGCGAUGAUGUCAUUGCAGAAGACACUAGCGAUGACCUGGAUCUUCCUCCUAUUGUAGCUGGUAGUGAGGAUGAGGAAGAUAUUGAUCACAAACUGGCAGAGGAUGAAGAUCUUUCUCCUCUUCCUGCUGAAGAUGAAGACUUGGAAGAAGACAUAAAAGCUGUAGACACAGACGAGGAGGAAGAUGAUGAUGAGCUGGACCAAUCAGAUGAGGACAUCUCUGUUGCAUCCUCUGAACACUUUGCAGAUGAUGAAGAUGAUGAGGAAGACCGUAAAGAUGAUGACCUUGACCUGGACUUUGACAAAGAUAUCCUUGAAGACCUUAAACACAAAGAUGCUCAAGACAAACCUGAUGUCACUAAAGAGAGCAUCCCUGAUGAUGACAAAGAGGAAGAGGAGGAGGAAGCUGGCAUUCCUCCCUUUGCGAGCACAGACAGCGGAGUCUUAGGUGAUGAAGAUGAUGAGGAUGACAUUUCCUUUGAUACGGAUGAGGACUCCACUGGAGAAAUAAUCCUGAGUGACUCUUCUGACACAACUGAUGAUAAGGAUGUGGAUACAAGCUCUUUGGAUGAUGAGGAUGAAGAAGACGAGGAUGAAGAUGAAGAAGAUGAUGGUGUCGGUGAAAUCUUGAUGGCAGCUGCUGCUGCAGGAACAUUUACUGUCCAGGAGGAGGCAGCAAAGACUGAUGAAGACCAUGAAGAAGGGGAUGAGCUCAAAGAGGCUGAAGAUGAAGGGAAGACUGAAGACACAGAAACAAAAGCAACAGGCACCACACGGCCAGCAGCUCCGGAGGAGAAGGAUGAGGGCAAAGAUGAAGAGCCAAUUUCUAAACCCGACAAAUCUGUAGAUGAACAGGAAGACAAGAAAGAGGAGUACGAUGAAGACGAAGAUGAGGAUGAGAAGGCAUCGGUGGAUGUGAUCAAACCUGUUCCUGGACCAGAGGAGGCAGCACCAAAGACGGAACCCACAGUGUGUCCCUGUAUGCACUCUGCAAAGACCAAAGAGUCUCCCACUAAGACUGCUAAGGCAAAAGAUGCUCCCAAGAGAGUUUCUGCUGUGAGAAGGAGAAAAGAUCGGGAAACUGUGAGGACUGUAAAGGCUUUAAAAACAGCUGAGAAGCCCAAACGGACAGCUCUUCCCAGAAUGACUGGUCUGCCUGCGAAAACAGCAAAGAUCCGAAGAUUUCCUCCUUUUCUGAAAGCCAAGAAAGUAGAUAAACCCAAGGCUUCCAAAGCAAAGACAGAGACCAAAAAGCAAGAACAGGUCACAGACUCUGGACAAGAAGUUGGGCCUUGCAGACCUGCACCAGUCUAUUGCCCGUCCCCACCUGGAUGGUAUGUUCAUCACAUAGUCACAGACAAUCCUUACCCUCCUCCCACCAUGUCAGCUCCCUCUGCUCCUGUACUGACCGCCCACCCUGUCCAUCCCGGAGCCCCACAGACACAGGGUGUUUAUCAGCAGCAGCCUCCGCCACCACCAAUGCAUCCACUGUACGCACAGUAUCAACCAUAUCAGCCACCACUUCAGCCUGUGAUGCCGCCUCCACCAGAUCCAGUUCAACCGCUCCAGCCUGUACAGCCAGAAGCUGCAGAAGAAGAAGAAGAAAAAGCUCCUGCCCAACCUGAGGUCCCGACUCCAGCUGUUGAAGCUCAGCCUGCUGAAGCUCCGGUUCAAGAACCAGAGGCUGCUGAGGAGGACGUGAUUGCUGUCUCCACAAAGAAAGCAAAAAAGACAACAAAGGCUGCUGAUUCAGACAAAGAGCCAGGAGCAGCCAAAGGGAAAACAAAGAAAGACGCUGCUGUUUUGGAAGAGAAAACCAAAGAAGACACCGCAAAGAAAGUGGCAGCUGCUAAAAAAGACAAAAUCAGAAUUGAUGCAGGGACAAAAAAAGAUCCAUCUGCAAAACAUAAAGCUAAAAGUGCUGCAGCUCCUAAGAAAGCGCCUGCGGCUGAACGACAGAAGAGGAAAGCAGCCUCUGAAAAGACAGUGGCACCUAUCAGGAGCAAAGUGAAGGCGUCGACAGCUAAGACAGAUCCAGAACCACGUCCACAGCCACUCAGACUGAGACCGAGACUUGACAUUGGCAGGAGGGCAAAUGUAACCUCUGAGGCCCACGAGGAGAAACCUGCCAGAUCUUCAUCUGAACCAGGCCAAGCAGAGAAGGCUGAAAAGAAAUCUGUCAAAGAGUCUCAAGAAAAAGAGAAACAAGCAUCAAAAACUGAAGAGCUCAAGAAAGAAGAAAAUAUUACAGAAAAGAAGAAACCUGGACAGAGAUUCUUCCAGUGUGUUUAUGUCCCGGGCAAAAAUGCCCAGUACCCUUUACGACCUUUCACUCCAGCCAUGUCCCCCACCAUGAUGUCUCCUGCACUCAGAGCCAUGUUGGAGCAGCAGAGAGCAGCCAGGGCAUCUGGGCAGUAGGACCACCUGAAGCCUCUAUAUAUAUCUGAUAGCACUUCAUCUUUCCAUCCAGCAGGGGGAGAUGUUUGAAUCUGUGCUAGCUUUACAUUCAGAGGAUGAUCACAGAGAGAGAGAAAAAAGUGGACAGACUUACUUUGUCUUUAAUUUAUUGAAAUAUUUAGUGGUUGAGCUCCUGGGGUUGCUGUUAAUAUUGCCCAUUUUACCCUCUGCUUAUGCUGCUCUACUAUACCUAUUUUCAGUAAGAAAAAUGCCAUCUUGUGAAUAUUAUUUUAAUUAUAAAUAGUAUUUAUAAUGUAUAUAAUGCAUGUUUUUAAUUUAGAAUGGGAUAAAUGGGUCACAUCUUAGCAUGUAAUAUAAAACUGUUUUUGUGUUGCUCUCCGUGAUGCCCCUUAUCAGAUUUAACAGUAAUUUAAGGCAGUUUAGUUUAUAUCCAAGCAAACACUUAUACUCUAUUAAGACAAGGUUUUACUGUCUAAGAUUAUUUGCAACAGGAAAAUAUAUUACAUUGAAUUGAAUGUUAAUGUUAGUAAACCCAAGCAAAUACAUUACAUAAAAUAAGAUUGAAUUGAAAAGUAUUUUUUCCCAUUUUUUCAUAUAAAUAACUGCAUUUUCAGUUCCUGUAACCAUGCCCCGUGUUUGUUUCUGCGGCUUUGCUGCAUCUGCAAUAGAACAGAAUGCAAAUGUUGGAGGGUCAAAUCCCAGGAGCUCCCACAUUGAUCCGAGCAGCAUCCCUGUCACUGAACAUCCAUCAGCCUCAUCAAUCGUAGGCGCAUGCUGUGAUUGAUGGACACAUAUGUCUUGACAUAUUAUGAACACAUCUAGCAUGAAACUGUUGGCCAUUUACCUUUCACCGCUAAUGUUUUUUUUUUUUUUUUUGUAGAGGUUCAUUUCAAUAUGUUACAUGCCACAUUUUAACUUGUGACUCCACUUAAAGUGGUGUAUUGGAAAUACUGUAGACUAGUAGAUGAAUAAAAUAUAGAAGAAUCUGAAAAAAUAGAUAUUUACUAACAUCCAAGAGGCGCCCAAAAGAUUUGUAUAUCUGUAUGAAUACAAACUCAAUAAUGCAAUGCAGUCUCAUUACACAUAUUGGAGCUGCAAAAUUAAAUAAACCUGCAUCCAAUUAAGAAACAUAUUUAAAUGAAACAUAAAGCUAAGUAAGAAAAAGGGGAUAUGAUUUUUUAAAAUACAUUUUCUUGUGUAUAUACAAUAAUUAUUAAAUAGUCUAGGUUCUCUGUGUAACUUGAAGCAGCUUGUAUGUGGGACUGUGGGCUUCCCAGUGGUGGUUUAUUGGCCAGGAAAUGAGUAUGCAGCAAAAUCAGCAAUGUUUUUGUGGCGCCUCAUUAGGUGUAAUAAAUUCAGAAAACCUGUUUUUGAUUUGUUUUUCUUUUAAAGCCAAAGAUUGCAAUGCUGUGCUUUUAUCUUAAAAAUGAAGUGCAAUUCCUGGAUAGUAAAUGUCUUGUAAUGAUGUGUUUUAUCACAGAUGACCUCUAAUUACUUACAAGUAUCAGCUCCUCAUGUUCAGAGGCAGGGACAACUUUGAUGUGACCAACUCAUGAGACACUGUGAUGUCUGCUACACUGAAUGAAUGUCAUUUGUGUUAAUCAUCAGCUUAUUUAUUAAGUCUGAUCUUGUCAUAUUUCUUUUUACCUCAGUCAUUCAUAGCUCUGGUUUUGUACCUUAUAGCAACAUGGCUGCCUUGUUGACACUGCCAAACUGUUGCUGAGCAUCACCAGUGAUUUCUGUCGCCGUCUUACUGAAUGAAAACUUGAUGAAAAGAACCAAAAAAGGUGUUUUUAAGCUGGGCUUAAUCCUGGGAUAUGACCCACUCUUGCCCAGAUUGUGCUGUCACAUUCACCUUUUAACAGAGUGAGUUCCUAAAGACACACAAAUCUACUAGUUUUUAAUAGCUAGUCCAUGCUUUAAAAAAAUGCUUUUGACACUCACGGCCAGAGUAAAGACAACGCAAAGCACUCAUAUUGUUGCAUUUUUAACAUAUUAUGACCCUGUGGAUUGAGCUACAUCAAUUAUUAAGAUGUUAUUUUAAAUUUGAUUUUUGUUUUUGUUUUUGAGGUAUGGCAGUGAAGUGCGGCUCAACCAGAGGUUCUUGAAGUUAUCAGGGCCAGGGACCUCUUAGAGGGGUGAAAGUUUUCCAAGGUUCCCCUCAUAAUCCACAUUCAAAGCAGUUAAGAUGCUUUGAACCUCGUGUUACUUGUUGUUGUGGACUGACUCAGAUAUUUCCCUAUGCUAUCUUGCUAGGUAGUCAUCUAACUAAUACGCCAAACUAUGCAGCAGAACAUUUCUGCUGUCCUUGAGUGUUGUUACGGAGUUUCUACCAAACUGACUCAAUGCACCACAUUGAUAUCAGACUCUCCAUUAACCCAAAGACAACUUUGGGGAUAAAAAUGGACUCAAUAUAUAUUCAUAUUUUUUUAACUGUGAAAUUGUUACCAUUCAUUAAAAUCCACUUUUAAUGAUGCAGCACAGAUUACUCAAUUUAAAGCAAAUUAUUUUCAGACCCCUCGGCUAUGAGAUAUCAACCGUAGGGCCGACUCACCAUUGCACUUGCUAAUCCUAACUGUAUUGUAACUUUUUCUAAAACUGCUUUUUUUAAAGCCUCAAACUGUGUUUAGCGAGAAAUUGAAUUUUAGAGGUGAGUUUAAAGUAAGUUACUUGAAAACUUCUAUUUAAUUAUUGCAAACUAAAAAAUCAUCCUCCAGCUUAAUAACAUAAUUAGAAAUUUUUCUUGUUCUUUUUUAAGAGUUAGUUCUAAAUAAAGUGAUGUUUACUGAUAUGAACUGAACAUUUUCAUCACUUGUUUUACCAAUAAUUAGCUGCCAAAGAUCGCACAGUGGCCAUUUUGACUAAAACUAGUGUGUUGCAACAUUAAAGAAGGUCCUGCCCCUUUUAGGUGCAGGCCCAUAAUUUUUGUGAUAUUGUUACAUAAAUAACAGUUUUGAUUUCCUUAGACUCAAUCUAAAAGAUGAACAUAGCCAGUGUGACAUCACCCAUUGGUUUCUGGACUUUUUCUUUGUUUUUAUUUAGUUUAUUUCAUUUCAUUUUUCUUUAUUCCUGAGUUUAACAGAACAUUGAUUGUAAGGGUUUUUUGUAAACUCUCAUUUUAUAAACAAGUCUGAAAUGAAGUGUAUCCCUGAGGUUUCAGUAUUGCGCUCCAGGGGUGAGGUCAGCAGUCCUGAAGUGGUAAAGAAGCCUAAUGAGAUCUGACAUAAUGUACUGCUGCAACUGAUUGUAGGUGGUGUAAGUGUUUGUUGGAGUAAGUUAUCACCUUAAAAUGUGGUUUUUACUGGUGUUUUGAUUAAUCAUAUUCCAGAAGGGCGUAUCAGCAGUAGUCUGCUGGUGCCUCAGUGUUCUGAAGGUCCUCAAAACAUAUAAAACAGUAAUUACAGCAUAAACUGUGGCUAUGUGCUGUAAUUAUGUUUUAAAGUGUUAUUAACUGUAAUUUAACGUGAGUUAAACCGUGAUCUCAUACAAGAAAACGAACCAGAAGGAACACACAAAAACAUCAGAGCUCUAUCUAAUGUAACUCCAGGUCCUUCAUACAUAUUCAUGUGAGCCUACAGUUGUAAGGCUGAGUUCAACUUGACUACUCUACGUCCCUGAUUAUGUUUUAAGUACAUGCGUUUGGAUGGUGUUGUUAAAAGCAAGUGAUCUGCUUUUUCUUAUGCAUGUUUUUUUUUCUGAAAAGCUGUAGUGCAACACUUACACUUUUGCUUCACUGUAUUUCACUAUGAUGUGUUGCUGUCAUAUUUGUCUUUCAUUCUUUUAUUGGUUGGUAGUUAUCUGAAACUACAGACAAAUUCGUGUAAUUGAUCUGCGAUCUCCAAGGAGAAUAAAAAAUAGCUGGGUUUCUUGUAGAUACUUCAUCUGGGAUUGGAGUGCAGUUUAACACUCUUUAAAAAAGUCUAAUUCCACAAAAUACAGUUUGAGGUUGUUUUGUUUUGGAAGGAUAUAUUUUGUUAACAAAUUGUACUAUUUUCUGCAUGAUAAUGUCAUUUAUUUAAAUUCAAGGCUGCUUUUUUUGUAACACACAAGUAAGACUGCGGUGUCACAAAAAGCAGUCACUCUGGUGCUGUACAAAUACUGUAGAUAAUAGUUAAUGAGACUUAUCACUCCAUUAGUUCUCAAAGAUAAUAAUAAAUUUGUUAACACGUUUGCUCAAAAAACUGUUUUAAAUUAAAGAUGUUUUUUUUUCUUGUGCUUUAUCAAAUAUGUAUGAAAAUGAUGUUUUAUUAAGAGAAAGUAUGAACUACCUGCUGCAUGUACUAUAAAGCAGAUGUGUUUAAUUCACUCAGUCACUUUCCAGAAGCCAGUUAAGUGUCAUACCUGACAUUUCAGGCAAUAAUAUCAUUGGAGGGACAACACUGAGUCUGCUGUGCUUAUGUAGGAAACUUU
This is a long non-coding RNA of Oreochromis aureus, 7139 nucleotides long. The record is from Ensembl. NCBI's taxonomy places the organism in Eukaryota, Metazoa, Chordata, Actinopteri, Cichliformes, Cichlidae.